UGUAAUACCAAUUUUGGCCUGGCCUAUUAACGAAUAAACCCAAACAAAAAAUAUAAGCCCAAUAAACGAGCCCAAUAGCCAAUUCCUAAGCCAGGCCCGAAACUAAUGGAAAAGGGAAGGGUUGAGAAACCCUAGCAGCAGCCCCUGCCUCCAGCAGUCCCAAUCGGCGCACAACUCGGAGCUAGAGGCCUCCUCCGCGAGAGUUGCGCCUCCACGUCGCGCGUAGUCUCCUCCAACAGUACCUGCAGCAACAAGAUAGCAAAAAUCAUGCCAACAAAACAGAAUAGAUCUUUUUUUUGAUUUUGUUGAUUUAUCUUUUCCAUUUCGGCUAUUUAAAGGCCGAUUUAAAUCAUGUAAAAGGGG
Molecule: long non-coding RNA, 363 nt
Filed under: Gossypium raimondii (Peruvian cotton)
Lineage: Eukaryota; Viridiplantae; Streptophyta; Magnoliopsida; Malvales; Malvaceae
Description: long non-coding RNA (GRAI_LNC002262)
Source: RNAcentral